GACGAACGCUGGCGGCGUGCUUAACACAUGCAAGUCGAGCGGUAAGGCCCUUUCGGGGGUACACGAGCGGCGAACGGGUGAGUAACACGUGGGUGACCUGCCCUCAGCUCUGGGAUAAGCCCGGGAAACUGGGUCUAAUACCGGAUAUGACUCCAUGACGCAUGUUGUGGGGUGGAAAGCCUUGUGCGGCUGAGGAUGGGCCCGCGGCCUAUCAGCUUGUUGGUGGGGUGAGGCCUACCAAGGCGACGACGGGUAGCCGGCCUGAGAGGGCGACCGGCCACACUGGGACUGAGACACGGCCCAGACUCCUACGGGAGGCAGCAGUGGGGAAUCUUGCGCAAUGGGCGAAAGCCUGACGCAGCGACGCCGCGUGAGGGAUGACGGCCUCGGUUGUAAC
RNAcentral lists this ribosomal RNA (397 nucleotides) under uncultured bacterium. RNAcentral describes it as "bacterial SSU rRNA". It matches the Rfam family "Bacterial small subunit ribosomal RNA", at positions 28 to 429 of the family's 1533-position model. The record is from RNAcentral.